Oncorhynchus tshawytscha (Chinook salmon) is the source of this 899-nucleotide long non-coding RNA. RefSeq lists it as uncharacterized. The transcript is spliced from 3 exons. The record is from RefSeq and is a predicted model, not a curated record. Lineage: Eukaryota; Metazoa; Chordata; Actinopteri; Salmoniformes; Salmonidae.
CCUCUGUUAGGUUUUAACUCCAACCCUGAUCCUGGAGCGCUACCCUACUGUAGGUUUUAACUCCAACCCUGUUCCUGGAGCGAUACCCUCCGUUAGGUUUUAACUCCAACCAUAAUCUAGCGGUUCUGAUUCCAAUAAUUAGCUGGUUGAUGAGCUGAAUCAGGUUAGUUACAACUGGGGUUAGAGCCAAAACCUACAGGAGGGUUAGCAUUAAAACCUGCAGGAGGGUUAGCAUUAAGGAGGGUUAGCAUUAAAACCUACAGGAGGGUUAGCAUUAAAACCUACAGGAAGGUUGGCAUUAAAACCUACAGGAGGGUUAGCAUUAAAACCUAGAGGAAGGUUAGCAUUAAAACCUACAGGAGGGUUAGCAUUUAAACCUACAGGAGGGUUGGCAUUAAAACCUACAGGAGGGUUAGCAUUAAAACCUACAGGAGGGUUAGCAUUAAGGAGGGUUGGCAUUAAAAUCUACAGGAGGCUUAGCAUUAAAACCUAGAGGAAGGUUAGCAUUAAAACCUACAGGAGGGUUAGCAUUAAAACCUACAGGAGGAUUAGCAUUAAAACCUACAGGAGGAUUGGCAUUAAAACCUACAGGAGGAUUAGCAUUAAAACCUACAGGAGGGUUAGCAUUAAGGAGGGUUGGCAUUAAAACCUACAGGAGGAUUGGCAUUAAAACCUACAGGAGGGUUGGCAUUAAGGAGGGUUAGCAUUAAAACCUACUGGAGGGUUAGCAUUAAGGAGGGUUGGCAUUAAAACCUAAAGGAGGGUUAGCAUUAAAACCUACAGGAGGGUUAGCAUUAAAACCUACAGGAGGGUUAGCAUUAAAACCUACAGGAGGGUUAGCAUUAAAACCUACAGGAGGGUUGGCAUUAAAACCUACAGGAGGGUUAGCAUUAAGGAGG